This is a long non-coding RNA of Panicum virgatum (switchgrass), 654 nucleotides long. RefSeq lists it as uncharacterized. The record is from RefSeq and is a predicted model, not a curated record. The transcript is spliced from 2 exons. NCBI's taxonomy places the organism in Eukaryota, Viridiplantae, Streptophyta, Magnoliopsida, Poales, Poaceae.
CCCAAAUUGUGGGCGGCGGUGUGUAUUGGCGGCGCUGGCAGCGGCAAAUCGCAGAAUCCAUUUCUGCAUCUCGGCAGCGAGCAGCGAUGUGCAGCCUUUUGGUGGCCUGUGGUGGUGUUCGUCGGAGUUGGUUUGGUUGUGUUCGUGCUGGAGGAAUUCGGCAUAGCUGCUGCAGCCAGUUAGAUGAUGUGCGGAAAGCCAUAAGCAACAAGGAGACUGCGAGGUACCCCAUCCGGAAUGCCACCGUCAUAACCACCUCCACCCGACUCCGUCCACCAUGGUAGGAGGCAGAUCCCAAUGAUCAACACCAAGUGCGAAGGCUGAGCAGCAGUUGUGGGGCGCGUGGAGGUGGUGCGCGACAGGCAAAGGAUAGCGGUGCAGAGGGACAACGAGGGGCGAUGUCCCCUUUGAGGGUGGCAAACAAAAAACCUAUACUUGUAUGAUGGCUUGGCGUUUGUUGAUAACCAUUUGGAUGCAGUGCGUAUAAGCUUUUAUAGAUACAUGAUAUGAUACAAUAUAUGUUUGAUUCAGUUUUUACUGAUUUGAGGAUUGCAGGUUUAUAUGUGAUCCCGCAUCUCUGUUCAUUUAUAUAUAUGUUAUGAUGUAUAGAUGAAAAUAAUCAUUGUAUCAUAGUAAUAGUAUUUUUUAAUGCAA